This is a non-coding RNA of Pangasius djambal, 74 nucleotides long. The record is from the annotation of a GenBank genome assembly. Lineage: Eukaryota; Metazoa; Chordata; Actinopteri; Siluriformes; Pangasiidae.
GGCAGUAGUGGCUCAAUGGUUAAGGCCCUGGGUUGCUGUUCUGAAGGUCAGGGGUUCAAGCCCCAGCACUGCUG